UCUUGUACUGGAGGGGAAGUGGGGAUGACGUCAAAUCAUCAUGCCCCUUAUGACCUGGGCUACACACGUGCUACAAUGGAUGGUACAAAGGGCUGCAAGACCGCGAGGUCAAGCCAAUCCCAUAAAACCAUUCUCAGUUCGGAUUGUAGGCUGCAACUCGCCUACAUGAAGCUGGAAUCGCUAGUAAUCGCGGAUCAGCAUGCCGCGGUGAAUACGUUCCCGGGCCUUGUACACACCGCCCGUCACACCACGAGAGUUUGUAACACCCGAAGUCGGUGGAGUAACCGUAAGGAGCUAGCCGCCUAAGGUGGGACAGAUGAUUGGGG
RNAcentral lists this ribosomal RNA (326 nucleotides) under Priestia megaterium. RNAcentral's name for it is "bacterial SSU rRNA". It matches the Rfam family "Bacterial small subunit ribosomal RNA", at positions 1152 to 1480 of the family's 1533-position model. Lineage: Bacteria; Bacillati; Bacillota; Bacilli; Caryophanales; Bacillaceae. The record is from RNAcentral.